RNAcentral lists this ribosomal RNA (499 nucleotides) under uncultured bacterium. RNAcentral's name for it is "bacterial SSU rRNA". It matches the Rfam family "Bacterial small subunit ribosomal RNA", at positions 899 to 1397 of the family's 1533-position model. The record is from RNAcentral.
ACUCAAAGGAAUAGACGGGGACCCGCACAAGUAGCGGAGCAUGUGGUUUAAUUCGAAGCAACGCGAAGAACCUUACCUAAGCUUGACAUCCUUUUGACCGAUGCCUAAUCGCAUCUUUCCCUUCGGGGACAGAAGUGACAGGUGGUGCAUGGUUGUCGUCAGCUCGUGUCGUGAGAUGUUGGGUUAAGUCCCGCAACGAGCGCAACCCUUGCCUUUAGUUGCCAGCAUUAAGUUGGGCACUCUAGAGGGACUGCCAGGGAUAACCUGGAGGAAGGUGGGGAUGACGUCAAAUCAUCAUGCCCCUUAUGCUUAGGGCUACACACGUGCUACAAUGGGUGGUACAGAGGGCAGCCAAGUCGUGAGGCGGAGCUAAUCCCUUAAAGCCAUUCUCAGUUCGGAUUGUAGGCUGAAACUCGCCUACAUGAAGCUGGAGUUACUAGUAAUCGCAGAUCAGAAUGCUGCGGUGAAUGCGUUCCCGGGUCUUGUACACACCGCCCGU